ACUUUCAGCAACGGAUCUCUUGGCUCUCGCAUCGAUGAAGAACGCAGCGAAAUGCGAUAAGUAAUGUGAAUUGCAGAAUUCAGUGAAUCAUCGAAUCUUUGAACGCACCUUGCGCUCCUUGGUAUUCCGAGGAGCAUGCCUGUUUGAGUCUCAUGG
This 156-nucleotide ribosomal RNA is filed under the name Bjerkandera adusta. RNAcentral describes it as "5.8S ribosomal RNA". It matches the Rfam family "5.8S ribosomal RNA". From Rfam's summary of the family: 5.8S ribosomal RNA (5.8S rRNA) is a component of the large subunit of the eukaryotic ribosome. Lineage: Eukaryota; Fungi; Basidiomycota; Agaricomycetes; Polyporales; Phanerochaetaceae. The record is from RNAcentral.